Erinaceus europaeus (western European hedgehog) is the source of this 311-nucleotide unclassified non-coding RNA. Its record names the gene 7SK. It matches the Rfam family "7SK RNA". Rfam says of the family: 7SK was discovered as an abundant small nuclear RNA in the mid-70s but a possible function has only recently been suggested. Two independent studies have found that 7SK RNA binds the CDK9/cyclin T complex (known as elongation factor P-TEFb). The record is from Ensembl. NCBI's taxonomy places the organism in Eukaryota, Metazoa, Chordata, Mammalia, Eulipotyphla, Erinaceidae.
GGAUGUGAGGGCGAUCUGGCUUCAACAUCUGUCACCCCAUUGAUCGCCAGGGUUCAUUUGGCUGAUCUGGCUGGCUAGGCGGGUGUCCCCUUCCUCCCUCACCACUCCAUGUGCGUCCCUCCCAAAGCUGCGCACUCGGUCGAAGAGGACGGUGUUUCCUGAACAGAGAUGGACUGGUCUUCGGUCAAGGAUAUACGAGUAGCUGCGCUCCCCUGCUAGAACCUCCAAACAAGCUCUCAAGAAUACCUCCUAGGGCAUGGCCUGGAGUUCAGAGCCAACAUUUGUUAUGAGUUGUACUUACAACAUAGUUG